UCAUCUGAUGUGAGAUAACUUCAGCAGUUCAGAGAGGGAAUUAAACACUUCUGCUUAAUUUGUGGCUGAGCCUAAUUGCAGCUGAUUUUUAGGGUCUUUGAAUCCAGUUCCAAGCAAAAGUCAAUGGGAUUUAGGGCUGUGGCAGUAGGAGCAAGUUUGGAAACUUAAUGGCCAAAUAAGCCGGUUUCUUCCCUGUCACCUUACUGAGUUACUGUAGUGGUACACAGGAGUCUACAGCAGAUUGCAUAACAGACCAUGAAGAACUUUGCUGUCUGUAUCUGAAUAUAAGCUCCUAGAUUUGAGUUCCCAUGUAUAGACAGUUAGCAUCUAGUUUCUAGACUUAAACAUUAGAACUGUAUGUUUAGACAUUAAUUGUCAUGUUUUCACUGUACAGGACUUGUCCAAGAGUUUGUCCUACCUUUGAGAACCGAGUAACCAGCACAAGUAGCCAACCUACUGUUAAAUCAGAACAUUGUAUUACAUGAAUUUUGGACAUUUUUCUGUCCUCUUUUAUUUGCUUUUCCUUUCAAGCUGCUUGUGAGCUUGCUAUUGAAAAAAUUCCUUUCAGUCUGUCCUUUAAAAUUGAUUUCAGUUUUACUUUCAAUGGUUUGUUUUUCAAGGCUGAGGUGUUACUAUUCCAGUUGUAGAGUUGGUUAUCACUUUUUAAGUCAGCUAAAGUACUUGACAAAAAAGCAAGAAGCAAAGGAGCCUCAGAAGUUACAUUUUUAAAUUUGUUGUGUAUUUACAAUUUUGUCAUCUUUGUUUUCUUUUUCGGUUCCCAGCUUGAGCUAAAAAACUGACCACUGUAGACUGAUGUUAAAUGUAUCAGGAGAUUGUUUGGAAACAAGAAAUCCAGAGGACUGUAUAACAGCAUCAGUGUAGCAGACCUUCUGUGUAUAUUUCAACCUAUUGGUCAGUGGCUGCUUAAUGUCAUCCCUUCCUGGUGCUGAAGGUCUGAUGUCAUGUUCCAACAGCAGUCAGCAGUUCAGACUGAGGAAAUAGGAGGGUGAAUUUGGGAAGUGAAGUUGACAAGAAGUUGACAGGAAACUGACACUGCUGAUAAAGGAAAGCAAGGUGUGAAAAUGGACAAGAAUUUGGAAAAGGCCUCGAGGUGUAUCUGUGCUGGAUACAGAACUGAGUUACUUCUGUCAGAUGUAUUCUCCUGGGUAUAUAUUUGCAGCACUCCUGUCUGACAGUACACACAAAAAGGUAGCAGAGAGUGAGACCAUGAACAAGGCAACCAAAACCACCUGAGUUAAGAGAGUCCUGAUCAGCCAGUGAAGGAACUUCUCCCUCUCUGCUGGAUGGCUUCCUUCUGCCCUGCCUGUGAUGUUCUGCUAUUGCCAUUUUACAGGAGAAGGCACAAUCACUGGGUCUCUUGACCUGGCAAGAAAUUGAAGUCACGUGAGUGACUACAGGUGGAGGAGGCAACAUUUUUGCUUUCUGUGCAACUUCAUUCACCAGCAAGCUUGCCUUUAACUGCAAUUUUCAAGUGUCUCACAAAAGAUUAUCAUAUGGGUCCUGAGAAAUAUCAGCAAGGGAACUCUGACUUUAUUGUGAAGAAAGAAAACAAGACAAAAAAAGAAGUGAAACUGAGGGAAUUGGUGUCAGGACUUUCUGUCUCUAGUUUUAGGCUUAGUUUGUUAAAAACUGUUAAAUGGGGAGGUGAGCUGUUUCCAAAGGGCUUUUUCAUAAAAUGCAAUCCAAUGGUAAUGCUUCCAUAUUUUUCUCUCCCAUUUACACCACAAGACUGUGGAAUAGAUAACGAGGCAGCAUUCUGUCUCACCAGUCCUUAAAUCCUGAGAAAGCCAAACAGCUGUUUGCCUCUGAAGUGCUAACACAUCCUCCAAAGGAUCCUUGAGCUUGUCAUUGAUAGGAGCAUGCUCUUCAAAUGGAAGAACACUGUUUUGGACUUUAUGGACUUCGGCUCCAAUGCUGGAGAGAGUUAGAUAUUGUUGUGCAAAGAACUUUUCCCUGGGAAUUCAGAAGGAAUUUUCAAUAGUUCUGCAUGUUUACUCCCCAAAGCAGGAAUUUCUAUGUGCUUUCUGUGGACAAAUGCUGGUGAAAGCAGAUGCCAAACCAUGGCACCACAUGAAGGCCAGAAAAACUGCUUAAAAAACCAGACUGUUCCUCUUCCCUUUUCUCAGUCAGUCAUCCCUAUUCUUAUGGAAACCUUCUUACAACUGCAGCAUAAGCAUUUGUAUGACUUUGUGGGGAACUAUAUUGCAAAAAUUGCACAUUUUUUCUCAGGGGCUGUUUUUCAUCUGGAUCAGUUCCUUGAUCUGGUUAACCAUGCAGCCACACAAAUAUUUAUGAUGGCACAGUACAACAGAUGAUCUAGGAGAAAUUGUGGGAGUGGGAGAAAGUGGGGAAUGCUUUAUUGGUAAUCAUGUUCACUUAAAAGAAUACCAAACUGAAGCUUAAAGCAAAAAGGAAUAGCAGUGGGAUGACAUGUCUGAAAAGGGAGUUGAGGCAUCUGCAUUAUUCUUCAGAAAGGAAAACACGGCUUCAAAUACCAAAUGGUGUCAUUACAGGGGGUGAGUAUCAGCUGACACAGCCAUUUCCAAAAGCUGCAGUGUGCAGGCAGGGAGACUUUUCAGUAUUUUGGUCUGUCUGAAACUUCACUUUGAGGGAGCUGGGAAGCAGAAGAUGCAUAUGGUGGAUCCAAAGGGAUGCAAAAGCAGUGAUCUGCAUGUAGCUGACCCUGUGCCUCCAUAUGAUCCACAAGUUCUGAAGUGAGAUGCUAUUUUGGAUAAAUAUGCUGGUGUCUCUGUGUGUUUGUGAGUGUGCAUACAUGGGUUCUUGCAUGGUGUUCUCCUGAAGGUGCUCCUUGUGGGUUUCUUUUGAACUGGUUUGUCACCAGGAGAGCAUUGCACACAGAUUUAUUUACUGCCAUUUUCUUAAGAAGCUGUGCUGCUUGGGCCCUGCACUCUGCAGUGGCACAAUAGCCUGUCCAAGUCCUCACAGAAAGAUGACGUGGCUCCUUGUUCCAUGUUGCCGGAUUUCAUCCGACUUCUGUCGCUUGGCACUUGGGCUUGUGUAGCUUUGGGAAGGGAUCCUCUCUGUACCUGCCCAUGCCCACCAAAACUGACUUUGCUGAGCCUUUGAUGGCCUCUGACAUUUGCUUAAAUAUGUCUGAGUUUUAUGCCAAAAUAUCCUAGUUGCAGUGCAUUCAGAUUGAGAGGAGAGAAAUUGAAUAAAUGUUGUUUCCUGCUUCCUGAGGCUCUACUGCAUUUUAUAAAACCCUUCAGAGACAGUUUCCAAUCCAGAAGGGAGCUCACAACAUGCUUCACCAUUAUUAAGCUAAAGCAGUUGCCAAGUCUAUUUAGAGCCUUACAGCUACAUGUGUGCUGAAAUGCCUUUCUGGACAGAGCUCCAAAAUGCUGGGCUAUGUCAAUGCUGCAGUUUCAACUUCCAGUUUGUAUCUUUUCUUUCUCUACAGGACCCAAGGUAUAACUUAGACACAUCCAAGCUAAUUUUGAACAUGUUAACUCAGGUGCCUACAGCAGUCUAGGUAAGGAGCAAGGAGUUUAAUAAAAAAUGUCCUGUCAAAAAAUCAAGGUAGAUUAAGCAGCAAUGAGCUCCACGGUGCUGCGGGUUCAUGACUGUCCCUGGUCCAAAAGACAAGAGUUUGGUUCUUUUCACAUGGUGCAGUAUUUUGGGGGCUGUCAUACCUUUACAUUGUGAGUAACUAUGCUUCUUGAAUACCGCUGAGAUAAGUAUUCCCUGUUCACAUCUGCCUUUUAAGAGAUUCUCUAGAGCACUGCUGCAUAGUUUCAUAGUUGUACACAAGGCAAGAGAAGGGGUUUGUGCUCUGUAGUCUGUGUUGUGGGAGGAUGGACUAUUUUCAAAUACUUUGAUUCCAGACUAAAUGCCAAGUCUGAUUUAGGCUGGCAUGUCUUGUGUUAGUGUUUCCAGGGACACAUGAACCAGUUCCUUUCAGAAAUGUUUUUUAAUGAAUGAAGUUCUGAAUAUCCAAGUGACACUUCAUUAUUCACAGUUACUUCAUUUCAGUAGAUGCUGUUUCAGUCAGUAGCUCCCUAGCUUUUAAGUGAAUAACGUCAUUAUACCUUCACUUCUUCAGAGGCUCUCAGGAUCAAAGAUGUCAACUACACUGUGAUCUUCAUUAAAAGGGAAAGACAACAGGGACAGGGCUGGCUCACGCAGUGAAAAGAUCUUUUAAAAUUCUUUGUCUCUUCAGACUAUAAUAAUGAAACAGUGACUCUCACUGGGUAAUGGAUGCAGGGUAAGAAGCAGAACAGGGCUGAAAUCAGACAAUUCAGUAGUUUUCUUUUUUUUUUUUUGUGUAUGGAGAAGGUGCUUUCCAGAUCAUUACAAAAGCUUUGUUUCCCCCACAUUUAACUGCAUUGUAGGAAAUCUGAUGGGAAAAAUGACCUUGGAAUAGGUUUACAGUUUCAGCUGCUGCAAAUUUAAGGGCAGGAUUGUUGGCUUAUAAAGCUAUGAGUGAAAAAGAAACAAAAGUUAAUCAAUUGCAGGACCAGAAAUAUGAACAAAUUUUUUUAGUGCUAAUGUUGCAUCUCUGCAUAGAGAUGCAUUUCUGAUUAGCCUUGCCCAGCCCUCUGGGGCUCCCCCCACACUUCGUAGAGCCCUUGAUCCCAUGUCAGCCUCCUGGGGCUGUUGGUCUCUGCCCCAGUGGUGCUUCAGCAGAGGCACUCUCCAGCUGCCCACAGCUCUGCUCAGCUGUGAGUGCCCCAGCCUAGGACCACUACAGGCCUGUGUCCCCAUAGAGUUACCCAGUGCCUGGGGCUGGGACUCUCUUGGCUUUCCUGCUGCCUCCCCAGCAGCUCUGUUUUGCCAUCUCUCAUGGGAAGUCCUCAGCCUUUGCAGGGCCCUGACGGUCAGGUUGCUUUUGCUGGAAUUCAGCCAGCACCUUUCUGACGGCUUUUUUUCCUGGUGCUUUGUCAGAUACAUGAAUACAUCUGAGCUGACUAAAAAUAUUCUUAUCUAUUAUUCAAUAAUCUCUUCAUCUUUCACCUUGCUGCUGGGUUGCUUUGUAAAACUUUAACAAUAAGCUCAUUUGAUUGAAGUGGAGAUAAGGAGUCAGCUCAUAAGUGCAGAUUUUUGCUGGAGAAUGAUCUGUGAAACCCAUAUGUAUUUGGCCUGCCUGCUUGUUUCAAGACCUACAAAUCCUACCAUAGGUAGAGCCCUAAGAAGAGGGUGCUUGUUUAUUUCCACAGUAAUUUCAAGUAUGUAACAUAGGACAAACAUGUUCUUUAACCUUUAUUUAAAAAUAUCUACUACAAAAGUACUGAGCUCUAAUACCCAGGAAUAGCAAAUGAGCUAUUCACCAAUAUGAAGCAAUGCUCUAAACAGUAUUUUCAUCAACGUAUUUUUUUAUUUGAAUGAUUCUUUUUUUAUCAGAAUAUUUGGUGAAUGUAUUUGACAAUGUUGCCUUAAAGAGUUUAUGACAGCAACAUGUUUGGGACUGGAAGAGGGGGAUCAAGGGAGGGUUACUAAUGUGAGAAGAUACUGCAGACCACAACAACCCCCUUUCCCUCUUGUCCUGGGUUGGCUAUUACGACACAGUUCUGGUUUUGGAAAUACGUGGUUUCUAUUUUUGCUCCUGGAAAAAAAAAAAAGAAAAAGCAUUUUUCAACAACAUUGUGAUAAGAAACUGUCAUGGCCCAGCCUGCAUGUGUGCAUGCACAAUGCACAGGUGGUGUGAGAAUAUCUGUUUCAUGAAGACUUGUUCAGGAGGGAUAAGGGAAGCCUAUCUCUAACCCAGACCAUGGUGGUAUGUGUGCUCUGAAACACUUGUCCUACCAACCUCAGAAAACCACAGAUACUACAAAGUAUCUGAGGGGGUUGCCUCAGUACAGAUUGGUGGGUAUCUGUCACCUCCUGCUGCUUUUGCCACCAAUGUGAUAGGUGUGAUAACAGUGGCUUUUCCAUGCUUACUGAAGAAUCUCUUUCACUUGAGAUAUCCCUCCAGGUUUCCUGUGUAAGCAGCACUGGAAAAUAAACUAACUAUUUUCUCAAGACUUCCUGGAAUCAUGCUCCCAAAGGAAGGGAGGGUUAAAAGCAUUUUUUUGAAAAGACUUGUUAAUUAAAAAUGAAUUGAAAAUAUCUUGCUAAACCUCUUUGUCCUUAGCUAUACUGAGAAAAUAUACUGAUCUAGCACAUAACUUGCAUAAACCACAGUUGUGUUUAAUACUGUCAGAGCAUGUCACAAAUUUCUGCCCUUGUUCAUUCCAAGGAAAAAAUGAUGUUUAAC
Molecule: long non-coding RNA, 6235 nt
Organism: Motacilla alba alba
Lineage: Eukaryota; Metazoa; Chordata; Aves; Passeriformes; Motacillidae
Exons: 6
Source: RefSeq, a predicted model, not a curated record